AUGAACGCUAGCGACAGGCCUAACACAUGCAAGUCGAGGGGCAGCACAAGGAGCAAUCUGAGGUGGCGACCGGCGCACGGGUGAGUAACACGUAUGCAACCUGCCUGUAAGCGGGGAAUAACCCGUUGAAAGACGGACUAAUACCGCAUAAUACUAAAUUACUGCAUGGUAAUUUAUUUAAACAUUUAUGGCUUACAGAUGGGCAUGCGCAUGAUUAGCUAGUUGGAGAGGUAACGGCUCCCCAAGGCAACGAUCAUUAGGGGUUCUGAGAGGAAGGUCCCCCACACUGGUACUGAGACACGGACCAGACUCCUACGGGAGGCAGCAGUGAGGAAUAUUGGUCAAUGGACGAGAGUCCGAACCAGCCAAGUCGCGUGCAGGAAGAAUGUCCUAUGGAUUGUAAACUGCUUUUGCAGGGGAAUAAAGUGCAUCACGUGUGAUGUUUUGUAUGUACUCUGCGAAUAAGGAUCGGCUAACUCCGUGCCAGCAGCUGC
Molecule: ribosomal RNA, 494 nt
Filed under: uncultured bacterium
Lineage: Bacteria
Description: bacterial SSU rRNA
Rfam family: Bacterial small subunit ribosomal RNA
Source: RNAcentral